Molecule: long non-coding RNA, 216 nt
Filed under: Nicotiana benthamiana
Lineage: Eukaryota; Viridiplantae; Streptophyta; Magnoliopsida; Solanales; Solanaceae
Description: long non-coding RNA (NBEN_LNC028594)
Source: RNAcentral
CAAGAUCACCAACUUUCCACUGACGGCAAGCGGCAGCGUACCUUUUCUUUGACUGGGCGCCAUAGAAAUCUACCCAAUCAAAGCAGCGAAGGAGCAAAUUUUCAAGGGAUUCCUGAAUGUAAAGGAACCAAAACCACCCACUUGUCCACACAGUUUGAUAUGUAGAUUCCGAGGCAUUGAUUGAUAGGUCAUACACAAUUUGAUAACAGAAAAUUC